RNAcentral lists this ribosomal RNA (446 nucleotides) under Melica nutans. RNAcentral's name for it is "eukaryotic LSU rRNA". The stretch from base 306 to 446 matches the Rfam family "Eukaryotic large subunit ribosomal RNA", at positions 1 to 141 of the family's 3401-position model. Lineage: Eukaryota; Viridiplantae; Streptophyta; Magnoliopsida; Poales; Poaceae. The record is from RNAcentral.
UGCAGAAUCCCGCGAACCAUCGAGUCUUUGAACGCAAGUUGCGCCCGAGGCCACCCGGCCGAGGGCACGCCUGCCUGGGCGUCACGCUAUAACACGCUCCAAACCCCCUACGUUGGGCGCAGGACGCGGCGUCUGGCCUUCCGUGCCGCGAGGCGCGGUAGGCCGAAGAUCGGGCUGCCGGCGUAACGAGCCGGGCACAGCGCGUGGUGGGCGACCUCGCUUAUACUCGUCGCAGUGCAUCCGGCUCGCAGCUGGCAUGACGGCCUCCAAGGACCCAUUGCACGGAGCGCUAGCCGCUCCGACCGCGACCCCAGGUCAGGCGGGACUACCCGCUGAGUUUAAGCAUAUAAAUAAGCGGAGGAGAAGAAACUUACAAGGAUUCCCCUAGUAACGGCGAGCGAACCGGGAGCAGCCCAGCUUGAGAAUCGGGCGGCCGUGCCAUCCGA